AUCUCUGCAUGGGACACACUGGGCCGCUCAGAACCGACGGACCGCCCCGCUGACAGGGACGGUUCUGUCGGGCCGAAGCUCGCAGGUCUGCUGCUGGACGGUUUGCUCUGGUUCUGGUUCUGAAGUGACAUGGGAACUAGACAGACAGCUUCUGGGUUUUAUUGCAGUUUCUCUUCUCUUUAGCAGCCACCUGAACCUCUGGUUCCUUAGAUUGUAGUUUCCUUUGGAUAGUUUAGUAAACCUGCUGCUUCACAGUUUGGGCCCAGAAUCCAUCAUAAGAUAGAGGAUGAGGUCAUCUGAUAGAGGAUGAGGGUGAUCUAGUUGUUGAUGAGGGUGAUCUAAUAGUGGAUGAGGGUGAUCUAAUAGUUGAUGAGGGUGAUCUAAUAGUGGAUGAGGGUGAUCUAAUAGUGGAUGAGGGUGAUCUAGUAGUGGAUGAGGGUGAUCUAGUAGUGGAUGAGGGUGAUCUAAUAGUGGAUGAGGGUGAUCAUAUAGAGGAUGAGGGUAAUCUAAUAAAGGAUGAGGUCAUCUGAUAGAGGAUGAGGGUGAUCUAGUUGUUGAUGAGGGUGAUCUAAUAGUGGAUGAGGGUGAUCUAAUAGUGGAUGAGGGUGAUCUAAUAGUUGAUGAGGGUGAUCUAGUAGUGGAUGAGGAUGAUCUAGUAGUGGAUGAGGGUGAUCUAAUAGUGGAUGAGGGUGAUCUAAUAGUUGAUGAGGGUGAUCUAGUAGUGGAUGAGGAUGAUCUAGUAGUGGAUGAGGAUGAUCUAGUAGUGGAUGAGGGUGAUCUAAUAGUGGAUGAGGGUGAUCUAGUAGUGGAUGAGGGUGAUCUAAUAGUGGAUGAGGGUGAUCUAAUAGUGGAUGAGGGUGAUCUAAUAGUGGAUGAGGGUGAUCUAGUAGUGGAUGAGGGUGAUCUAAUAGUGGAUGAGGGUGAUCUAGUAGUGGAUGAGGGUGAUCUAAUAGUGGAUGAGGGUGAUCUAAUAGUGGAUGAGGGUGAUCUAGUAGUGGAUGAGGGUGAUCUAGUAGUGGAUGAGGGUGAUCUAGUAGUGGAUGAGGGUGAUCUAAUAGUGGAUGAGGGUGAUCUAAUAGUUGAUGAGUGUGAUCUAGUAGUGGAUGAGGAUGAUCUAAUAGUUGAUGAGGGUGAUCUAAUAGUGGAUGAGGGUGAUCUAGUAGUGGAUGAGGGUGAUCUAAUAGUGGAUGAGGGUGAUCUAGUAGUGGAUGAUGGUGAUCUAGUAGUGGAUGAGGGUGAUCUAGUAGUGGAUGAGGGUGAUCUAGUAGUGGAUGAGGGUGAUCUAGUAGUGGAUGAGGGUGAUCUAGUAGUGGAUGAGGGUGAUCUAGUAGUGGAUGAGGGUGAUCUAAUAGUGGAUGAGGGUGAUCAUAUAGAGGAUGAGGGUAAUCUAAUAAAGGAUGAGGUCAUCUGAUAGAGGAUGAGGGUGAUCUAGUUGUUGAUGAGGGUGAUCUAAUAGUGGAUGAGGGUGAUCUAAUAGUUGAUGAGGGUGAUCUAGUUGUGGAUGAGGGUGAUCUAAUAGUGGAUGAGGGUGAUCUAAUAGUGGAUGAGGGUGAUCUAGUAGUGGAUGAGGGUGAUCUAGUAGUGGAUGAGGGUGAUCUAAUAGUGGAUGAGGGUGAUCAUAUAGAGGAUGAGGGUAAUCUAAUAAAGGAUGAGGUCAUCUGAUAGAGGAUGAGGGUGAUCUAGUUGUUGAUGAGGGUGAUCUAAUAGUGGAUGAGGGUGAUCUAGUAGUGGAUGAGGGUGAUCUAAUAGUGGAUGAGGGUGAUCUAAUAGUGGAUGAGGGUGAUCUAGUAGUGGAUGAGGGUGAUCUAGUAGUGGAUGAGGGUGAUCUAGUAGUGGAUGAGGGUGAUCUAAUAGUGGAUGAGGGUGAUCAUAUAGAGGAUGAGGGUAAUUUAAUAAAGGAUGAGGUCAUCUGAUAGAGGAUGAGGGUGAUCUAGUUGUUGAUGAGGGUGAUCUAAUAGUGGAUGAGGGUGAUCUAAUAGUGGAUGAGGGUGAUCUAGUAGUGGAUGAGGGUGAUCUAAUAGUGGAUGAGGGUGAUCUAAUAGUGGAUGAGGGUGAUCUAGUAGUGGAUGAGGGUGAUCUAGUAGUGGAUGAGGGUGAUCUAGUAGUGGAUGAGGGUGAUCUAAUAGUGGAUGAGGGUGAUCAUAUAGAGGAUGAGGGUAAUCUAAUAAAGGAUGAGGUCAUCUGAUAGAGGAUGAGGUCAUCUGAUAGAGGAUGAGGGUGAUCUAAUAGAGGAUGAGGGUGAUAUAAUAGUGGAUGAUUGUGAUCUAAUAGAGGAUGAGGUCAUCUGAUAGAGGAUGAGGUCAUCUGAUAGAGGAUGAGGUCAUCUGAUAGAGGAUGAUUGUGAUCUAAUAGUUGAUGAUUGUGAUCUAAUAGAGGAUGAGGGUGAUAUAAUAGAGGAUGAGGGUGAUCUAAUAGUGGAUGAGGGUGAUCUAAUAGUGGAUGAGGGUGAUCUAAUAGAGGAUGAGGGUGAUCUAAUAGAGGACGAGGGGAAUGAGGGUGAUCUAAUAGAGGAUGAGGGGAAUGAGGGUGAUCUAAUAGAGGAUGAA
Cyprinodon tularosa is the source of this 2546-nucleotide long non-coding RNA. RefSeq lists it as uncharacterized. The transcript has 3 exons. NCBI's taxonomy places the organism in Eukaryota, Metazoa, Chordata, Actinopteri, Cyprinodontiformes, Cyprinodontidae. The record is from RefSeq and is a predicted model, not a curated record.